UACAGAGACUGCAAGCGUUAUUCGGAUUCACUGGGCGUAAAGGGUGCGCAGGUGGGUUGGCAAGUUCGAUGUGAAAGCCCGGGGCUUAACCCGGGAAUGGCAUUGGAUACUGUUGAUCUGGAGGGUCGGAGGGGGGACUGGAAUUCUUGGUGUAGCAGUGAAAUGCGUAGAUAUCAAGAGGAACACCAGUGGCGAAGGCGAGUCCCUGGACGAUACCUGACACUGAGGCACGAAAGCCAAGGGAGCAAACAGG
RNAcentral lists this ribosomal RNA (253 nucleotides) under uncultured bacterium. RNAcentral's name for it is "partial 16S ribosomal RNA". It matches the Rfam family "Bacterial small subunit ribosomal RNA", at positions 524 to 776 of the family's 1533-position model. The record is from RNAcentral.